AUGGGGGACUUUGAUGGUGAGGAAAAAGAAUUGAUCAAGAAAUUGGUAAACUUUCGCAUGAUCGAUGGUGAAAGAACGAGAGUUCGUGCUAUUGUUUAUAAAACUUUUCACCGCCUAGCUCGAACUGAACGCGAUGUAAUAAAACUUAUGGUUGACGCCGUAGAUAAUAUAAAGCCAAUAUGCGAAGUGGUCAAACUAGGAGUCGCAUGUACUAUUUAUGAUGUUCCUGGGAUUGUAGCCAGGGAUCGUCAACAAACCUUAGCUAUUCGUUGGAUCCUUGGAGCAGCUUUCAAAUGA
RNAcentral lists this ribosomal RNA (297 nucleotides) under Triticum aestivum (bread wheat). Its description in RNAcentral is "partial small subunit ribosomal RNA". The record is from RNAcentral. Lineage: Eukaryota; Viridiplantae; Streptophyta; Magnoliopsida; Poales; Poaceae.